CGCAAUCAACCUCCGCCAACCAAUCGACCAGUGACUAACGCGUUUAACCGAAAGAAACAAAGGCACGCCAGGCGGUCCCGAUGGCCCGGGCCAUCAUGAUGACCACGGUGACGGGCGACGUGAGCGUACCACCGCCGGACCAACCACCGGCAGGUUCCGUAGGCACCGUCAGCCUCUAUAUCGUGUCGAAGUGGGUGUUCAAAGUGAGGAUCAAAGGCCCCGACGGUGGUAGCACAGGCUCUAGCGCUUAGCAGCCUUGAGCACGCUUCAAAAAAAACCGUGGCAAAUUGAACCGUGGGUUCCGCGCUCGCGCUAUCUUUCUCGUACUCCUCGAAUACCAAUACCAUCACUGCUUUCGUUUGUUCGAUUUUGGCGUCCUCUGCGUACGUGAAAGCCGCAAGGAUCGGGACAGUUCGAUCGAUCGCGGACUGCUUUGCAAAGGUAGAAUAGGGCAUAGAGGCCGGGUGUGCCGGAUUUAUUCGCCUUUUUUGGCGUAGUUACAGUAGGAUUACGGCGGUAUCUAGCGUGCCGAACCAUCAUCAUCAAACAACCUCUCCAACUAGACUACUACACUAUAUCAGCAAACAACCUUUCAAUGCUACUACUACUACUACUACUACUGCUACCACUUCUACUAAGAAUCCCCGGCUCCGGGCCAAUGGGGGAACCGCGCGUUUAUCGCCGCCUAUCCCAACAGUAUUGGUCAUAUCAAUUUGGCUGCAACGAUGGCAUCGUCACCGGCGCUCCCGCUCUACUCGAGCUGCUAUCCGACGCCAAACGGGUACCCGCAGAUCAACGGUGAGGUCGAUGCGCCGCUCGACUUCCGCAAGGUCGAAUCCUUACGCAGGUACAUGGCCACACCUCCUGGGGCAAUACGUUCGCGAGUGCAUAAGAAACGAUUCAUAUACAGUUACAGAUAUAUAUAUAUAGAUAUACACUAUAUAUAUAUGGACAUUUUUAUAGACAUUCACGCUGAUACUUAUACAUGUAUACAUAUCUGUAUAUAUAUAUAUAGAUAUAGAUAUAUUGCAAUAUCAUCCUGACCAAACAUCGGGUCAGGUCGCUUACGUGAUGAUCCGUGGUCCGUCUUCUAGUAGUGCUAGAGAGCACCUACUGCAACUCUGUGGUGUUGUGCAAGUUGAGCUUACCUACCUUCCUUAUCCUAGGCGCUCCAAACCGAC
Molecule: long non-coding RNA, 1181 nt
Organism: Anopheles aquasalis
Lineage: Eukaryota; Metazoa; Arthropoda; Insecta; Diptera; Culicidae
Source: RefSeq, a predicted model, not a curated record